ACUGCGGUUCUGAGCGCGCCGUGCGCGCCCACCUGACAGCUGCUCGCGACGUUCUGUUCGCC
RNAcentral lists this small RNA (62 nucleotides) under Xanthomonas oryzae pv. oryzae. Its description in RNAcentral is "sX9". It matches the Rfam family "Xanthomonas sRNA sX9", at positions 16 to 76 of the family's 76-position model. Lineage: Bacteria; Pseudomonadati; Pseudomonadota; Gammaproteobacteria; Lysobacterales; Lysobacteraceae. The record is from RNAcentral.